RNAcentral lists this ribosomal RNA (253 nucleotides) under uncultured bacterium. Its description in RNAcentral is "partial 16S ribosomal RNA". It matches the Rfam family "Bacterial small subunit ribosomal RNA", at positions 524 to 776 of the family's 1533-position model. The record is from RNAcentral.
UACAUGGGGUGCAAACGUUGCUCGGAAUUAUUGGGCGUAAAGCGCACGUAGGUGGUCUGUUAUGUCAGAUGUGAAAGCCCUCGGCUUAACUGAGGAAGUGCACCUGAAACUGGCAGGCUUGAGUACGAAAGAGGGUCGCGGAAUUCCCGGUGUAGAGGUGAAAUUCGUAGAUAUCGGGAGGAACACCGGUGGCGAAGGCGGGUCUCUGGGCCGAUACUGACGCUGAGGAGCGAAAGCGUGGGGAGCGAACAGG